RNAcentral lists this ribosomal RNA (253 nucleotides) under uncultured bacterium. RNAcentral's name for it is "partial 16S ribosomal RNA". It matches the Rfam family "Bacterial small subunit ribosomal RNA", at positions 524 to 776 of the family's 1533-position model. The record is from RNAcentral.
UACAGAGGGGGCAAGCGUUAUUCGGAAUUAUUGGGCGUAAAGGGCGCGUAGGCGGCCUGGCAAGUGGAAGGUGAAAUCCCUCGGCUUAACCGAGGAACUGCCUUCCAAACUGCUUGGCUUGAGUCCGGGAGAGGUGAGUGGAAUUCCCAGUGUAGCGGUGAAAUGCGUAGAUAUUGGGAGGAACACCGGUGGCGAAGGCGGCUCACUGGACCGGAACUGACGCUGAUGCGCGAAAGCGUGGGGAGCAAACGGG